Molecule: transfer RNA, 72 nt
Filed under: Syntrophothermus lipocalidus DSM 12680
Lineage: Bacteria; Bacillati; Bacillota; Clostridia; Eubacteriales; Syntrophomonadaceae
Rfam family: tRNA
About the family: Transfer RNA (tRNA) molecules are approximately 80 nucleotides in length. Their secondary structure includes four short double-helical elements and three loops (D, anti-codon, and T loops).
Source: Rfam by way of RNAcentral
GGCCCCAUGGUCAAGUGGUUAAGACACCGCCCUUUCAAGGCGGUAACAGGGGUUCGAAUCCCCUUGGGGUCA